UACGGAGGGGGCAAGCGUUAUUCGGAAUUACUGGGCGUAAAGGGCGCGUAGGCGGCCUGCUAAGUCGAACGUGAAAUCCCCGGGCUCAACCCGGGAACUGCGUCCGAUACUGGCAGGCUUGAAUCCGGGAGAGGGAUGCGGAAUUCCAGGUGUAGCGGUGAAAUGCGUAGAUAUCUGGAGGAACACCGGUGGCGAAGGCGGGUCUCUGGGCCGAUACUGACGCUGAGGAGCGAAAGCGUGGGGAGCGAACAGG
Molecule: ribosomal RNA, 253 nt
Filed under: uncultured bacterium
Lineage: Bacteria
Description: partial 16S ribosomal RNA
Rfam family: Bacterial small subunit ribosomal RNA
Source: RNAcentral